UAGCCGUAGUCGAUGGAUAACAGGUUGAAAUUCCUGUACUGCUUAUGGACAGAACUGUGGGGACGCAGAAGGAGAGCACGAGCCGGAAAUGGAAAAGCCGGUACAAACGUAUAGCAGUCAUGCAGGCAAAACCGCAUGAAAAAUGUAAAGCGUUAUGUGGAUCGAACAUUAGUAGAAAAGCGUGUGAGCCAGCUGCCAAGAAAAGCCGCUAUUGUUUCAUAAGUACCCGUACCGUAAACCGACACAGGUGGAUGAGGAGAGAAUCCUAAGGCCGGCGGGAGAAGUGUUGUUAAGGAACUCGGCAAAAUGACUCCGUAACUUCGGGAGAAGGAGUGCCACAGAGAUGUGGCCGCAGAGAAGUGGCCCAAGCAACUGUUUAGCAAAAACACAGGUCUAUGCAAAACCGAAAGGUGAGGUAUAUGGGCUGACGCCUGCCCGGUGCUGGAAGGUUAAGAGGAGAGGUUAGAGCAAUCGAAGCUAUGAAUUUAAGCCCCAGUAAACGGCGGCCGUAACGAUAACGGUCCUAAGGUAGCGAAAUUCCUUGUCGGGUAAGUUCCGACCCGCACGAAAGGCAUAAUGAUUUGGGCACUGUCUCAACAACACACCCGGUGAAAUUGAAAUACCAGUGAAGAUGCUGGUUACCUGCGCCAGGACGGAAAGACCCCAUGGAGCUUUACUCCAGUUUGAUACUGGGAUUCGGUACUGUCUGUACAGGAUAGGUGGGAGGCUAGGAAAUGGUGACGCCAGUUGCCAUGGAGCCAACCUUGGGAUACCACCCUUACAGUACUGGGUUUCUAACCUGCAGCCGUAACCCGGCUGGGGGACAAUGUCUGACGGGGAGUUUGACUGGGGCGGUCGCCUCCGAAAGAGUAUCGGAGGCGCUCAAAGGUUCCCUCAGAACGGUUGGAAACCGUUCGAAGAGUGCAAAGGCAGAAGGGAGCUUGACUGCGACACCGACGGGUGGAGCAGAUACGAAAGUAGGACUUAGUGAUCCGGUGGUAUAAAGUGGGAUUGCCAUCGCUCAACGGAUAAAAGCUACCCUGGGAUAACAGGCUUAUCACUCCCAAGAGUUCACAUCGACGGAGUGGUUUGGCACCUCGAUGUCGGCUCAUCGCAUCCUGGAGCUGUAGCAGGUUCCAAGGGUUGGGCUGUUCGCCCAUUAAAGCGGUACGCGAGCUGGGUUCAGAACGUCGUGAGACAGUUCGGUCCCUAUCCGGCGUGGGCGUAGGAUAUUUGAGAGGAGCUGUCCUUAGUACGAGAGGACCGGGAUGGACAAACCUCUGGUGCAUCUGUUGUUUUACCAAAGGCAUGGCAGAGUAGCCAAGUUUGGCAGGGAUAAACGCUGAAGGCAUCUAAGCGUGAAGCCCCCCUCAAGAUAAGAUAUCCCAUCUUCGGAGUAAGACCCCUUGAAGACUACAAGGUUGAUAGGCUUCAGGUGUAAGUGCGGUAACGCACUCAGCUGAGAAGUACUAAUAGGUCGAGGACUU
This 1487-nucleotide ribosomal RNA is filed under the name metagenome. RNAcentral's name for it is "bacterial LSU rRNA". It matches the Rfam family "Bacterial large subunit ribosomal RNA", at positions 1406 to 2925 of the family's 2925-position model. The record is from RNAcentral.